Molecule: non-coding RNA, 72 nt
Organism: Bos taurus (domestic cattle)
Lineage: Eukaryota; Metazoa; Chordata; Mammalia; Artiodactyla; Bovidae
Source: Rfam
UCCCUGGUGGCUCAGAGGUUAAAGCGUCUGCCUCCAAUGCAGGAGACCCGGGUUCGAUCCCUGGGUUGGGAA